UACCCAAGCCCCAAGGGCCUCCAUGGAACUCCUUGAAUGUGUGGCCAAGCUGUGCCUCUGAGCCUUUGCACUGGCUGAUCCCUCUAUCUGGAAUGCCUUUCCCUCAGAAAACCUUGCAGCUUGCUCCCUCCUCUCCUUCAAACUCGUGCCCAAAUGCCUCCUUCUCAAAUGAGUCCUACCCUGUCACCCUAUGUAAAAUUACAACCUCCACCCCUCAUCGUCCAUCUUCCUUCUCUCUUUUAUUAUUCUCCUCCCCAGCGCUUAUCAUUUUCUAGAACUUACAUCAUGUGCUUACUUAGCAUGUUUGUUGUUUGUCUCCUCGCCCAGAAGCAAGCUCCCAGAGGGCAAAGCUUUCCUCGGCUUGAUACACGGCUUGCUCCCCAGCAACCUGGAAACACGCCCCAUGCCUCUGAGGAGGUAACAGCAGCAGAGAUUCAGGGCAGACCUUGGGGAGACGCCCAUCAAAGCAGGUGAGGAUGGGGAAAAAGGACUGAGGGUGGGCCCAUCGGUCCGUUCCAGAACUCCCACUGGAACGUCAAAUGGGGUUGAGCGGACAGCUGAGCCCUGGAGCCUGGGGACGAGAUGUUCCAUCCUCUGAGCAGACUGAGGCCGGAUGCACUGCUUGGAGCCGACGCCGCACCAGCUCCAGCUCCCUUCCUUGGCUGCACAGUCUUCUUUGGAGUGAGGGUCGGCCCUCUCGGCGCCUCAGGGAGCGCAGGGCCCUUCGGAGGCAAGUGGUGUGGGGGCCUCUCCCAUGUGGGGGGCUCUGUUAGACCUCCUUCCUUCCUCUUCUCGUUGGCGGCGAGGCUGGAGGGUGUGCUCUUUCCAGACCCUUCUCUCUCACGAGUCUGAACAGUCAGAGGAAGCGGC
RNAcentral lists this long non-coding RNA (870 nucleotides) under Sus scrofa (pig). Its description in RNAcentral is "lncRNA (ENSSSCG00060031885.1)". Lineage: Eukaryota; Metazoa; Chordata; Mammalia; Artiodactyla; Suidae. The record is from RNAcentral.